UACGUAGGGCGCGAGCGUUGUCCGGAAUUAUUGGGCGUAAAGAGCUCGUAGGCGGUGUGUCGCGUCGGCCGUGAAAACCUGCAGCUUAACUGUGGGCUUGCGGUCGAUACGGGGCAUCACUGGAGUUCGGCAGGGGAGACUGGAAUUCCUGGUGUAGCGGUGAAAUGCGCAGAUAUCAGGAGGAACACCGGUGGCGAAGGCGGGUCUCUGGGCCGAUACUGACGUGGAGGAGCGAAAGCGUGGGGAGCGAACAGG
RNAcentral lists this ribosomal RNA (255 nucleotides) under uncultured bacterium. RNAcentral describes it as "partial 16S ribosomal RNA". It matches the Rfam family "Bacterial small subunit ribosomal RNA", at positions 524 to 776 of the family's 1533-position model. The record is from RNAcentral.